RNAcentral lists this unclassified non-coding RNA (1490 nucleotides) under uncultured fungus. RNAcentral's name for it is "sequence contains 18S rRNA gene, ITS1, 5.8S rRNA gene, ITS2, 28S rRNA gene". The stretch from base 521 to 1490 matches the Rfam family "Eukaryotic large subunit ribosomal RNA", at positions 1 to 961 of the family's 3401-position model. Lineage: Eukaryota; Fungi. The record is from RNAcentral.
GGAAGGAUCAUUAACACGUAAAUAAUAUCAACAACACCAAAAGUGUACUGUUUGUGGUGAGAGGUUGUGUGUGGAGAUGUGUGGGUAAUACCACACACCAAAGCAUAUUGAUCUCUCAUCAUCUUUGUUGUCUCUGUUUUACCAAUUUUGACUUCAAUGUCUAAGUUAUAACAUAAAAAACUAAGAAAAAUUUUCAACGAUGGAUAUCUUGGUUCCCACAACGAUGAAGAACGCAGCGAAAUGCGAAAAGCAAUGCGAAUUGCAGAACUCCGCGAGUCAUCAGAUCUUCGAACGCAUCUGGCGCCGACCGGAUAUCCGAUCGGCAUGUUUGUUUCAGUGUCGUGUUCAGACUCACAUAACUCAAUGUGAUUGAUCGUGAUCCAUAUCUUCGGAUAUGUGUGUCAUGAUCUCUCAUGAAGUUAGGACUGCGGCAACCGACCGAUGCAGUAGUCAGUCUUGUGCUGAUACUCAUUGGGAAGGAAGCUAUACAACAGUCACACGUGCUCUUUGAACUCCACAACGCAUCUGAGACAAGCAAGAACACCCGCUGAACUUAAGCAUAUCAGUAAGCGGAGGAGAAGAAAUUAACAAAGAUUGCCCUAGUAGCGGCGAGCGAAGAGGCAAAAGCUCAAACUGAGAAUCUGAGGUGGUAACGCCUCCGAAAUGUAAUCUCAAGCGUUAUCCAGAAGCUGAGAAGACGCAUAAGGUUCUGGAAAGGACCGUCGUAGAGGGUGAAAACCCCGUGCAUGGUGUACUUCUCGGUGUAUGGGUGGCGGCGAAGAGUCGGGUUGUUUGGGACUGCAGCCCAAAAUGGGAGGUAAACUUCUCCUAAGGCUAAAUAUGGGUGGGAAACCGAUAGCAAACAAGUACUGUGAAGGAAAGAUGAAAAGAACUUUGAAAAGAGAGUUAAAAGACUUGAAAUCGUUGAGAAGGAAGCGGUAGAAAAGAAUGAAUUGGUCAGGACUUUAAGGUUGACAGUGGGUGCACACGUGGUGGAAUGUACUUCAUAGGCUUCCGUUGCGUGCUGUGAUCCUAUUGUGACUGAGCUCCUGGCCAAGAGGCAACAUCAGGAUUUGUGAUCGGGAAAAAGCGCUAGGGAAUUUCUCGCAAGAGUAGCCCGGUGUCACACCGACCACAGUCCUGAGGGACGAAAGUGAUGUUGUCGAAAUGGUUUCUACCGACCCGUCUUGAAACACGGACCAAGGAGUCUAACAACUACGCGAGUGUGCGAGUGUCAAAACUCAUACGCGAAAUGAAAGUGAAAACAAGGUGUGAACCGCAAGGUGCAACACCGACCGACCGGAGCCACGGCGACGGCUUGAGUAAGAGCGUACUUGCUAGGACCCGAAAGAUGGUGAACUUUACUUGAGUAGGGUGAAGUCAGGGGAAACUCUGAUGGAAGCUCGUAGCGAUAUUGACGUGCAAAUCAUUCGUCAAACUUGAGUAAAGGGGCGAAAGACUAAUCGAACCAUCUAGUAGCUGGUUCCCUC